RNAcentral lists this ribosomal RNA (853 nucleotides) under Didymocrea leucaenae. RNAcentral's name for it is "partial large subunit ribosomal RNA". It matches the Rfam family "Eukaryotic large subunit ribosomal RNA", at positions 74 to 942 of the family's 3401-position model. The record is from RNAcentral. Lineage: Eukaryota; Fungi; Ascomycota; Dothideomycetes; Zopfiaceae.
AUAGCCUCAGUAACGGCGAGUGAAGCGGCUACAGCUCAAAUUUGAAAUCUGGCCCUCUUUGGGGGUCCGAGUUGUAAUUUGCAGAGGAUGCUUUGGCAUCGGCGGCGGUCUAAGUUCCUUGGAACAGGACAUCGCAGAGGGUGAGAAUCCCGUACGUGGGCGCCUGCCUUUGCCGUGUAAAGCUCCUUCGACGAGUCGAGUUGUUUGGGAAUGCAGCUCUAAAUGGGAGGUAAAUUUCUCCUAAAGCUAAAUACCGGCCAGAGACCGAUAGCGCACAAGUAGAGUGAUCGAAAGAUGAAAAGUACUUUGGAAAGAGAGUCAAAUAGCACGUGAAAUUGUUGAAAGGGAAGCGCUUGCAGCCAGACUUGCCCGCAGUUGCUCACCCAGGCUCUUGCCUGGGGCACUCUUCUGCGGGCAGGCCAGCAUCAGUUUGGGCGGUCGGACAAAGGCCUCUGUCACGUACCACCCCUCGGGGUGGCCUUAUAGGGGAGGCGUAAUGCGACCAGCCCGGACUGAGGUCCGCGCAUCUGCUAGGAUGCUGGCGUAAUGGCUGUAAGCGGCCCGUCUUGAAACACGGACCAAGGAGUCUAACAUCUAUGCGAGUGUUUGGGUGUCAAGCCCGGGCGCGCAAUGAAAGUGAACGGAGGUGGGAACCCUUCGGGGUGCACCAUCGACCGAUCCUGAUGUCUUCGGAUGGAUUUGAGUAAGAGCAUAGCUGUUGGGACCCGAAAGAUGGUGAACUAUGCUUGAAUAGGGUGAAGCCAGAGGAAACUCUGGUGGAGGCUCGCAGCGKUUCUGACGUGCAAAUCGAUCGUCAAAUUUGGGCAUAGGGGCGAAAGACUAAUCGAAACCA